RNAcentral lists this ribosomal RNA (345 nucleotides) under uncultured bacterium. Its description in RNAcentral is "partial 16S ribosomal RNA". It matches the Rfam family "Bacterial small subunit ribosomal RNA", at positions 338 to 681 of the family's 1533-position model. The record is from RNAcentral.
CCUACGGGAGGCAGCAGUUAGGAAUAUUGGUCAAUGGCCGGAAGGCUGAACCAGCCAAGCCGCGUGAAGGACGAAGGUGCCAAGCAUUGUAAACUUCGUUUGUCAAGGGACAAAAUCAGGCACGAGAGCCUGACCGAGGGGACGUGAAGAAAAAGCAUCGGCCAACUCCGUGCCAGCAGCCGCGGUAAGACUGAGGAGGCGAGCGUUAUACGGAUUUAUUGGGUUUAAAGGGUGCGUAGGCGGACUGUUAAGUCCGCGGUAAAAGCCCGGGGCUCAACCCCGGCGAGCCGUUGAAACUGGCUGUCUUGAGCUGUCGAGCGGUAUGCGGAAUGCGCAUUGUAGCUG